This 492-nucleotide ribosomal RNA is filed under the name uncultured bacterium. RNAcentral's name for it is "partial 16S ribosomal RNA". It matches the Rfam family "Bacterial small subunit ribosomal RNA", at positions 29 to 507 of the family's 1533-position model. The record is from RNAcentral.
AGUGAACGCUGGCGGUAGGCCUAACACAUUUAAGUCGAACGGCAGCACAGUAAGAGCUUGCUCUUACGGGUGGCGAGUGUCGGACGGGUGAGGAAUACAUCGGAAUCUACUUUUUCGUGGGGGAUAACGUAGGGAAACUUACGCUAAUACCGCAUACGACCUACGGGCGAAAGCAGGGGAUCUUCGGACCUUGCGCGAUUGAAUGCGCCGAUGUCAGAUUAGCUAGUUGGCGGGGUAAAGGCCCACCAAGGCGACGAUCCGUAGCUGGUCUGAGAGGAUGCUCAGCCACACCGGAACUGAGAGACGGUCCAGACUCCUACGGGAGGAAGCAGUGGGGAAUAUUGGACAAUGGGCGGAAGCCUGAUCCAGCCCAACCGCGUGGGUAAAGAAGGCCUUCGGGUUGUAAAGCCCUUUUGUUGGGAAAGAAAAGCAGCAGGUUAAUACCCCGCUGUUCUGACGGUACCCAAAGAAUAAGCACCGGCUAAGUUCGUG